RNAcentral lists this transfer RNA (62 nucleotides) under Campodea fragilis. Its description in RNAcentral is "tRNA-Ile". The record is from RNAcentral. Lineage: Eukaryota; Metazoa; Arthropoda; Diplura; Rhabdura; Campodeidae.
AAUGAUGUGCCUGACUAAAGGAUUACAAUGAUAAAGUAACUCAUGUAUUUUUACCUUCAUUA